GCGAACAGGAUUAGAUACCCUGGUAGUCCACGCCGUAAACGAUGUCGACUUGGAGGUUGUUCCCUUGAGGAGUGGCUUCCGGAGCUAACGCGUUAAGUCGACCGCCUGGGGAGUACGGCCGCAAGGUUAAAACUCAAAUGAAUUGACGGGGGCCCGCACAAGCGGUGGAGCAUGUGGCUUAAUUCGAUGCAACGCGAAGAACCUUACCUACUCUUGACAUCCAGAGAACUUAGCAGAGAUGCUUUGGUGCCUUCGGGAACUCUGAGACAGGUGCUGCAUGGCUGUCGUCAGCUCGUGUUGUGAAAUGUUGGGUUAAGUCCCGCAACGAGCGCAACCCUUAUCCUUUGUUGCCAGCGGUUAGGCCGGGAACUCAAAGGAGACUGCCAGUGAUAAACUGGAGGAAGGUGGGGAUGACGUCAAGUCAUCAUGGCCCUUACGAGUAGGGCUACACACGUGCUACAAUGGCGCAUACAAAGAGAAGCGACCUCGCGAGAGCAAGCGGACCUCAUAAAGUGCGUCGUAGUCCGGAUUGGAGUCUGCAACUCGACUCCAUGAAGUCGGAAUCGCUAGUAAUCGUAGAUCAGAAUGCUACGGUGAAUACGUUCCCGGGCCUUGUACACACCGCCCGUCACACCAUGGGAGUGGGUUGCAAAAGAAGUAGGUAGCUUAACCUUCGGGAGGGCGCUUACCACUUUGUGAUUCAUGACUG
RNAcentral lists this ribosomal RNA (709 nucleotides) under uncultured Serratia sp. RNAcentral's name for it is "bacterial SSU rRNA". It matches the Rfam family "Bacterial small subunit ribosomal RNA", at positions 768 to 1477 of the family's 1533-position model. The record is from RNAcentral. Lineage: Bacteria; Pseudomonadati; Pseudomonadota; Gammaproteobacteria; Enterobacterales; Yersiniaceae.